RNAcentral lists this transfer RNA (77 nucleotides) under Candidatus Paenalcaligenes intestinipullorum. Its description in RNAcentral is "tRNA-Pro". It matches the Rfam family "tRNA". From Rfam's summary of the family: Transfer RNA (tRNA) molecules are approximately 80 nucleotides in length. Their secondary structure includes four short double-helical elements and three loops (D, anti-codon, and T loops). The record is from RNAcentral. Lineage: Bacteria; Pseudomonadati; Pseudomonadota; Betaproteobacteria; Burkholderiales; Alcaligenaceae.
CGGGGCGUGGCGCAGUCUGGUAGCGCAUCUGGUUUGGGACCAGAGGGCCGUAGGUUCGAAUCCUAUCGCCCCGACCA